GAUGAACGCUGGCGGCGUGCCUAAUACAUGCAAGUCGAGCGAACGGACGAGAAGCUUGCUUCUCUGAUGUUAGCGGCGGACGGGUGAGUAACACGUGGAUAACCUACAUAUAAGACUGGGAUAACUUCGGGAAACCGGAGCUAAUACCGGAUGAUAUUUUGAACCGCAUGGUUCAAAAGUGAAAGACGGUCUUGCUGUCACUUAUAGAUGGAUCCGCGCUGCAUUAGCUAGUUGGUAAGGUAACGGCUUACCAAGGCAACGAUGCAUAGCCGACCUGAGAGGGUGAUCGGCCACACUGGAACUGAGACACGGUCCAGACUCCUACGGGAGGCAGCAGUAGGGAAUCUUCCGCAAUGGGCGAAAGCCUGACGGAGCAACGCCGCGUGAGUGAUGAAGGUCUUCGGAUCGUAAAACUCUGUUAUUAGGGAAGAACAUAUGUGUAAGUAACUGUGCACAUCUUGACGGUACCUAAUCAGAAAGCCACGGCUAACUACGUG
Molecule: ribosomal RNA, 497 nt
Filed under: uncultured bacterium
Lineage: Bacteria
Description: partial 16S ribosomal RNA
Rfam family: Bacterial small subunit ribosomal RNA
Source: RNAcentral